GUUGUGAGGUUAAGCGACUAAGCGUACACGGUGGAUGCCCUGGCAGUCAGAGGCGAUGAAGGACGUGCUAAUCUGCGAAAAGCGCCGGCGAGGUGAUAUGAACCUUUGACCCGGCGAUGUCCGAAUGGGGAAACCCAGUGCAAUUCGUUGCACUAUCGUUAACUGAAUACAUAGGUUAACGAGGCGAACCGGGGGAACUGAAACAUCUAAGUACCCCGAGGAAAAGAAAUCAACCGAGAUUCCCCCAGUAGCGGCGAGCGAACGGGGAGGAGCCCAGAGUCUGAAUCAGCGUGUGUGUUAGUGGAAGCGUCUGGAAAGUCGCACGAUACAGGGUGAAAGUCCCGUACACGAAAGCACACAGGCUGUGAACUCGAAGAGUAGGGCGGGACACGUGGUAUCCUGUCUGAAUAUGGGGGGACCAUCCUCCAAGGCUAAAUACUCCUGACUGACCGAUAGUGAACCAGUACCGUGAGGGAAAGGCGAAAAGAACCCCGGCGAGGGGAGUGAAAAAGAACCUGAAACCGUGUACGUACAAGCAGUGGGAGCACCCUUCGGGGUGUGACUGCGUACCUUUUGUAUAAUGGGUCAGCGACUUAUAUUCUGUAGCAAGGUUAACCGAAUAGGGGAGCCGAAGGGAAACCGAGUCUUAACUGGGCGUUAAGUUGCAGGGUAUAGACCCGAAACC
This 685-nucleotide ribosomal RNA is filed under the name Pluralibacter gergoviae. Its description in RNAcentral is "bacterial LSU rRNA". It matches the Rfam family "Bacterial large subunit ribosomal RNA", at positions 1 to 722 of the family's 2925-position model. Lineage: Bacteria; Pseudomonadati; Pseudomonadota; Gammaproteobacteria; Enterobacterales; Enterobacteriaceae. The record is from RNAcentral.